RNAcentral lists this small RNA (26 nucleotides) under Bombyx mori (domestic silkworm). RNAcentral's name for it is "ovarian small RNA-5266". The record is from RNAcentral. Lineage: Eukaryota; Metazoa; Arthropoda; Insecta; Lepidoptera; Bombycidae.
GCAGAGAGGAAAUUGUGGCCUGCAUA